CGAACGGGUGAGUAACACGUGAGAAACCUGCCUUUCACAAAGGGAUAGCUUCGGGAAACCGGAAUUAAUACCUUAUGACACAUAAGUAUCGCAUGAUAAAUAUGUUAAAGAAUUUCGGUGAAAGAUGGUCUCGCGUCUGAUUAGCUAGAUGGUGGGGUAAUGGCCUACCAUGGCGAUGAUCAGUAGCCGGAUUGAGAGGUUGAACGGCCACACUGGAACUGAGACACGGUCCAGACUCC
RNAcentral lists this ribosomal RNA (239 nucleotides) under uncultured bacterium. RNAcentral describes it as "partial 16S ribosomal RNA". It matches the Rfam family "Bacterial small subunit ribosomal RNA", at positions 99 to 339 of the family's 1533-position model. The record is from RNAcentral.